This 253-nucleotide ribosomal RNA is filed under the name uncultured bacterium. RNAcentral describes it as "partial 16S ribosomal RNA". It matches the Rfam family "Bacterial small subunit ribosomal RNA", at positions 524 to 776 of the family's 1533-position model. The record is from RNAcentral.
UACGGAGGGAGCUAGCGUUGUUCGGAAUUACUGGGCGUAAAGGGCGCGUAGGCGGUUCUGUAAGUCCCGCGUGAAAUCCCCCGGCUCAACUGGGGAACUGCGUGGGAAACUGUGGGGCUAGAGUUCAGGAGAGGGAAGCGGAAUUCCGGGUGUAGCGGUGAAAUGCGUAGAUAUCCGGAGGAACACCGGUGGCGAAGGCGGCUUCCUGGACUGACACUGACGCUGAGGCGCGAAAGCUAGGGGAGCAAACGGG